This 338-nucleotide unclassified non-coding RNA is filed under the name uncultured fungus. Its description in RNAcentral is "partial contains small subunit ribosomal RNA, internal transcribed spacer 1, and 5.8S ribosomal RNA". The stretch from base 1 to 73 matches the Rfam family "Eukaryotic small subunit ribosomal RNA", at positions 1759 to 1831 of the family's 1831-position model. Lineage: Eukaryota; Fungi. The record is from RNAcentral.
GCAAACUUGGUCAUUUAGAGGAAGUAAAAGUCGUAACAAGGUUUCCGUAGGUGAACCUGCGGAAGGAUCAUUAAAGAUAAUCCGGCGCGGUGGCCCGCGGCCCGAACGGGCCUCGGGUGCCCACGCUCACCUUAUCACCCCAUGUGAAAUAUCCUCUAUUUGCUUCGGCAGCACCGCACGGUCCGGUCGGGCCGUCGGGUAAGGCUGCCAGGAGCCCAUACCAAAACCUGUUGAUGAAAUGUCAUGCUGUCUGAUACAUCCACUUGAUUGAGAAAUCAAAUCAUAUUAAAACUUUCAGCAACGGAUCUCUUGGUUCCCGCAUCGAUGAAGAACGCAGC